AGCGGGGUGGCCUAGUGGAAUGGUGCGGGGCCCAUAACCCCGAGGUCGGUGGAUCGAAACCACCCCCCGCUA
This is a transfer RNA of Thelohanellus kitauei, 72 nucleotides long. It matches the Rfam family "tRNA". Rfam says of the family: Transfer RNA (tRNA) molecules are approximately 80 nucleotides in length. The record is from Rfam. Lineage: Eukaryota; Metazoa; Cnidaria; Myxozoa; Bivalvulida; Myxobolidae.